Molecule: ribosomal RNA, 441 nt
Filed under: uncultured bacterium
Lineage: Bacteria
Description: partial 16S ribosomal RNA
Rfam family: Bacterial small subunit ribosomal RNA
Source: RNAcentral
CCUACGGGAGGCAGCAGUGGGGAAUAUUGCACAAUGGGGGAAACCCUGAUGCAGCGACGCCGCGUGAGUGAAGAAGUAUUUCGGUAUGUAAAGCUCUAUCAGCAGGGAAGAAGCAAGACGGUACCUGACUAAGAAGCCCCGGCUAACUCCGUGCCAGCAGCCGCGGUAAUCGAUAGGGGGCCAGCGUUAUCCGGAUUUACUGGGUGUAAAGGGAGCGUAGGCGGUAUGGCAAGUCUGAAGUGAAAGCCCAGGGCUUAACCAUGGGACUGCUUGUGAAACUGUUAGACUAGAGUGCUGGAGAGGUAAGUGGAAGUCCUAGUGUAGCGGUGAAAUGCGUAGAUAUUAGGAGGAACACCAGUGGCGAAGGCGGCUUACUGGACAGUAACUGACGCUGAGGCUCGAAAGCGUGGGGAGCAAACAGGAGUAGAUACCCCUGUAGUC